RNAcentral lists this ribosomal RNA (497 nucleotides) under uncultured bacterium. RNAcentral describes it as "partial 16S ribosomal RNA". It matches the Rfam family "Bacterial small subunit ribosomal RNA", at positions 28 to 507 of the family's 1533-position model. The record is from RNAcentral.
GAUGAACGCUGGCGGCGUGCCUAAUACAUGCAAGUCGAGCGAACGGACGAGAAGCUUGCUUCUCUGAUGUUAGCGGCGGACGGGUGAGUAACACGUGGAUAACCUACCUAUAAGACUGGGAUAACUUCGGGAAACCGUAGCUAAUACCGGAUAAUAUUUUGAACCGCAUGGUUCAAAAGUGAAAGACGGUCUUGCUGUCACUUAUAGAUGGAUCCGCGCUGCAUUAGCUAGUUGGUAAGGUAACGGCUUACCAAGGCAACGAUGCAUAGCCGACCUGAGAGGGUGAUCGGCCACACUGGAACUGAGACACGGUCCAGACUCCUACGGGAGGCAGCAGUAGGGAAUCUUCCGCAAUGGGCGAAAGCCUGACGGAGCAACGCCGCGUGAGUGAUGAAGGUCUUCGGAUCGUAAAACUCUGUUAUUAGGGAAGAACAUAUGUGUAAGUAAUUGUGCACAUCUUGACGGUACCUAAUCAGAAAGCCACGGCUAACUACGUG